UAAAAACCCCGACUUCGGAAGGGGUGUAUUUAUUAGAUACAAAACCAAUGCCCUUCGGGGCUCUUUGGUGAUUCAUGAUAACUAUACGAAUCGCACGGCCUUGCGCCGGCGAUGGUUCAUUCAAAUUUCUUCCCUAUCAACUUUCGAUGUUUGGGUAUUGGCCAAACAUGGUUGCCACGGGUAACGGAGGGGUAGGGGUCGACCCCCGAGAAGGAGCCUGAGAAACGGCUACUACAUCCAAGGAAGGCAGCAGGCGCGCAAAUUACCCAAUCCCGACUCGGGGGAGGUAGUGACAAUAAAUACUGAUACAGGGCCCUUUCGGGCCCUGUAAUUGGAAUGAGUACAAUUUUAAUCCCUUAACGAGGAACAAUUGGAGGGCAAGUCUGGUGCCAGCAGCCGCGGUAAUUCCAGCUCCAAUAGCGUAUAUUAAAGUUGUUGUGGUUAAAAAGCUCGUAGUUGAACCUUGGGCCUGGCUGGCCGGUCCGCCUCACCGCGUGCACUGGUCCGGCCGGGCCUUUCCCUCUGUGGAACCCCAUACCCUUCACUGGGCGUGGCGGGGAAACAGGACAUUUACUU
RNAcentral lists this ribosomal RNA (576 nucleotides) under uncultured eukaryote. RNAcentral describes it as "SSU rRNA". It matches the Rfam family "Eukaryotic small subunit ribosomal RNA", at positions 174 to 757 of the family's 1831-position model. The record is from RNAcentral.